GACGAACGCUGGCGGCGUGCUUAACACAUGCAAGUCGAACGGAAAGGCCCUGCUUUUGUGGGGUGCUCGAGUGGCGAACGGGUGAGUAACACGUGAGUAACCUGCCCUUGACUUUGGGAUAACUUCAGGAAACUGGGGCUAAUACCGGAUAGGAGCUCCUGCUGCAUGGUGGGGGUUGGAAAGUUUCGGCGGUUGGGGAUGGACUCGCGGCUUGUCAGCUUGUUGGGGGGGUAGUGGCUUAACAAGGCUUUGACGGGUAGCCGGCCUGGGAGGGUGACCGGCCACAUUGGGACUGAGAUACGGCCCAGACUGCUACGGGAGGCAGCAGUGGGGAAUAUUGCACAAUGGGCGGAAGCCUGAUGCAGCAACGCCGCGUGCGGGAUGACGGCCUUCGGGUUGUAAACCGCUUUCGCCUGUGACGAAGCGUGAGUGACGGUAAUGGGAAAAGAAGCACCGGCUAACUACGUG
Molecule: ribosomal RNA, 468 nt
Filed under: uncultured bacterium
Lineage: Bacteria
Description: partial 16S ribosomal RNA
Rfam family: Bacterial small subunit ribosomal RNA
Source: RNAcentral